CGAGCGAAGCGCUGUUUUCAGAAUCUUCGGAGGAAGAGGACAGUGACUGAGCGGCGGACGGGUGAGUAACGCGUGGGCAACCUGCCUCAUACAGGGGGAUAACAGUUAGAAAUGACUGCUAAUACCGCAUAAGCGCACAGGACCGCAUGGUGUAGUGUGAAAAACUCCGGUGGUAUGAGAUGGACCCGCGUCUGAUUAGGUAGUUGGUGGGGUAAAGGCCUACCAAGCCGACGAUCAGUAGCCGACCUGAGAGGGUGACCGGCCACAUUGGGACUGAGACACGGCCCAAACUCCUACGGGAGGCAGCAGUGGGGAAUAUUGCACAAUGGGGGAAACCCUGAUGCAGCGACGCCGCGUGAAGGAAGAAGUAUUUCGGUAUGUAAACUUCUAUCAGCAGGGAAGAAGAUGACGGUACCUGAGUAAGAAGCACCGGCUAAAUACGUGCCAGCAGCCGCGGUAAUACGUAUGGUGCAAGCGUUAUCCGGAUUUACUGGGUGUAAAGGGAGCGUAGACGGAUAGGCAAGUCUGGAGUGAAAACCCAGGGCUCAACCUUGGGACUGCUUUGGAAACUGCAGAUCUGGAGUGCCGGAGAGGUAAGCGGAAUUCCUAGUGUAGCGGUGAAAUGCGUAGAUAUUAGGAGGAACACCAGUGGCGAAGGCGGCUUACUGGACGGUGACUGACGUUGAGGCUCGAAAGCGUGGGGAGCAAACAGG
RNAcentral lists this ribosomal RNA (713 nucleotides) under uncultured Lachnospiraceae bacterium. Its description in RNAcentral is "bacterial SSU rRNA". It matches the Rfam family "Bacterial small subunit ribosomal RNA", at positions 63 to 776 of the family's 1533-position model. The record is from RNAcentral. Lineage: Bacteria; Bacillati; Bacillota; Clostridia; Lachnospirales; Lachnospiraceae.